Molecule: ribosomal RNA, 159 nt
Filed under: uncultured bacterium
Lineage: Bacteria
Description: partial 16S ribosomal RNA
Rfam family: Bacterial small subunit ribosomal RNA
Source: RNAcentral
GCUAAUACCGAAUGCCGUUACGAAGUGGCAUCACUUUGUAACGAAAGAAUUUCGGUUCGGGAGGGCCUCGCGGCCUAUCAGCUAGUUGGUGGGGUAACGGCCUACCAAGGCAUCGACGGGUAGCUGGUCUGAGAGGAUGAUCACCCACACUGGGACUGA